AAGGCGGAAACAUAUUUACGUGUCGUGA
This 28-nucleotide small RNA is filed under the name Bombyx mori (domestic silkworm). Its description in RNAcentral is "ovarian small RNA-10647". The record is from RNAcentral. Lineage: Eukaryota; Metazoa; Arthropoda; Insecta; Lepidoptera; Bombycidae.